RNAcentral lists this ribosomal RNA (450 nucleotides) under uncultured bacterium. Its description in RNAcentral is "partial 16S ribosomal RNA". It matches the Rfam family "Bacterial small subunit ribosomal RNA", at positions 354 to 796 of the family's 1533-position model. The record is from RNAcentral.
GUGGGGAAUAUUGGACAAUGGGCGAAAGCCUGAUCCAGCCAUGCCGCGUGUGUGAAGAAGGUCUUCGGAUUGUAAAGCACUUUAAGUUGGGAGGAAGGGCAGUAAGUUAAUACCUUGCUGUUUUGACGUUACCGACAGAAUAAGCACCGGCUAACUUCGUGCCAGCAGCCGCGGUAAUACGAAGGGUGCAAGCGUUAAUCGGAAUUACUGGGCGUAAAGCGCGCGUAGGUGGUGUUGUAAGUUGGAGGUGAAAUCCCCGGGCUCAACCUGGGAAAGGCCGCGAAAACUGCAUGACUAGAGUACGGUAGAGGGUAGUGGAAUUUGCUGUGGAGCGGUGAAAUGCGUAGAUAUAGGAAGGAACACCAGUGGCGAAGGCGACUACCUGGGCUGAUACUGACACUGAGGGGCGAAAGCGUGGGGAGCAAACAGGAUUAGAUACCCCAGUAGUCC